CCUACGGGUGGCAGCAGUGAGGAAUAUUGGUCAAUGGGCUUACGCCUGAACCAGCCAAGUCGCGUGAGGGAAGACUGCCCUAUGGGUUGUAAACCUCUUUUGUCAGGGAGCAACGCCGGCUACGUGUAGCCGGACUGAGAGUACCUGAAGAAAAAGCAUCGGCUAACUCCGUGCCAGCAGCCGCGGUAAUACGGAGGAUGCGAGCGUGAUCCGGAUUUAUUGGGUUUAAAGGGUGCGUAGGCGGACUGGAAAGUCAGCGGUAAAAUCGAGAGGCUCAACCUCUUUCCGCCGUUGAAACUGUCGGUCUUGAGUGGGCGAGAAGUAUGCGGAAUGCGUGGUGUAGCGGUGAAAUGCAUAGAUAUCACGCAGAACUCCGAUUGCGAAGGCAGCAUACCGGCGCCCGACUGACGCUGAGGCACGAAAGCGUGGGGAUCGAACAGGAUUAGAUACCCCUGUAGUC
Molecule: ribosomal RNA, 460 nt
Filed under: uncultured bacterium
Lineage: Bacteria
Description: partial 16S ribosomal RNA
Rfam family: Bacterial small subunit ribosomal RNA
Source: RNAcentral